UAUGAAGAACGCAGCGAAAUGCGAUAAGUAAUGUGAAUUGCAGAAUUCAGUGAAUCAUCGAAUCUUUGAACGCACAUUGCGCCCGCCAGUAUUCUGGCGGGCAUGCCUGUUCGAGCGUCAUUUCAACCAUCAAGCCCUGCUUGCGUUGGGGUCCUGCGGCUGCCCGCAGGCCCUGAAAACCAGUGGCGGGCUCGCUAGUCACACCGAGCGCAGUAAUACAUCUCGCUUUGGGCGUGCGGCGGGUUCUUGCCGUUAAACACCCCCUUUUUACCAAGGUUGACCUCGGAUCAGGUAGGAAUACCCGCUGAACUUAAGCAUAUCAAUAAGCGGAGGA
RNAcentral lists this unclassified non-coding RNA (334 nucleotides) under soil metagenome. RNAcentral describes it as "partial contains 5.8S ribosomal RNA, internal transcribed spacer 2, and large subunit ribosomal RNA". The stretch from base 2 to 120 matches the Rfam family "5.8S ribosomal RNA", at positions 36 to 154 of the family's 154-position model. The record is from RNAcentral.